This is a long non-coding RNA of Pecten maximus, 1406 nucleotides long. RefSeq lists it as uncharacterized. The record is from RefSeq and is a predicted model, not a curated record. NCBI's taxonomy places the organism in Eukaryota, Metazoa, Mollusca, Bivalvia, Pectinida, Pectinidae. The transcript has 5 exons.
AGAAUGAAAUAUCUUUUUUAACGUAGUGGUUAUGUUGUGUUCAUAUCAGAGGCAUUUAAGAUUUUAAUUUCGGGAAUCCGACCUUACAGAAUCGGUAUGAGGUUAGACGUAUCUAUAUUAGUAGCGUGUGGUUUAUCUUUGGUCUUAUCCCACUCACUCGGAAAUUUGGAUGGUAACAUCAUCAAAGACAGGACAAGACGCCACAUCAGUGAGCUGAAGAUGUCCGAAUACCUCUCCCAAAUCGGCAACAUAUGUAACUCGGUCAACUGUGACUUCCAGGACAUCAUGAUGCUAGGGAAGCGGACUAUAAGUGCGGAACGCCGAGGUUUGUCUGCCUACAGGCUUUGUUGUCGUAGGUAACGCUGGAUUCCUGGUUUCUGGAACCGUAAAACAGAAGAUCUCUUGUAACUGAUCAUUAACCGGUGAUGUACUGCUGAUAAUCUUUCUUCUCCGUGAUCACUUUUUUCUUGGAGGACACUGACUACCCGGAACUGAAAAGCAACACAAUCUUGUAUAAAUAUAAUUCCAGUAAACUUCCUGUCGUCGGCCUGAUAAAUGGUCAUCGGACAUCCUAUCUCUCGCAUACACGUAAACAUGGCGGUAGUUUAUCCGCAUUUUAAUUUAUUUGCAUUAUUUGUUAUUCAUUUGUAUUUCCUGUAGAUAGCGGGUUGUUUUAACAUAUUCCAUGUAGAAGUGCCAUUUUAACCUACACCCCUUAUGUGAUACCAUUACUUUGAAUGUACCUCGCUUUAAAAAAAACCAUAUCGACUUAUACAUGAAAGGGUGACAAGCAUAUAUCAAUAUCACAUUUAUGAUACAAUAUUUGAUGUGGAAGCUUGUAAUGUCUAAUUUCGACUUUCUCAAGACAGUAUACAAGGAAGGGUCUUACAGUAGCGUUUAAAUUGAAAAAAAAAACACAUUCUGUGAACAAUGUAACAUAAUGAUAUAAAUUCUGUAUGAGGUAUUGACUUUUCCGUUUCGUCUCAUCAAUCCGUUAUUGUUAUUGCCAAUUUCUGUUUUAAAAUUUUGAAUUAAUUUAUGAUUUUAAACGAGCCAACAAAAAGUAAAGUCGAUGGACGAAAUAGAUGCUUUUGUCUUUAUUCCAUUAUCUGCGAAUCCAGUUAUAAUGAUCAUUUAGAAACGCGGAUAUUAUCAUCCUAGAUAUACAUCCUUCUCCGAAUUACUGUAAGACAUGCAACUAUACAAAUCGCUCCAGGAAAGGUGAAUAAUUACAAAUCUCUUGAGGUACUUACAAGAAUACCAUUGUCUUUUAUUUCCUAUCAGGUGAAGAAAAUAUAUCAAAUAGAUUAAAAUUGGCACUUUUGAUUAUACAAUGUAUAUCUAAAUCGAAAAUAGAAAACAGUGUUUACUUUUGUUGAAAAAUAAUAAAAUACACUAUAUGACAA